UAGCAUAUCCAUAAGCGGAGGAAAAGAAACCCAACAGGGAUUGCUUUAGUAACGGCGAGUGAAGCGGCAACAGCUCAAAUUUGAAAUCUGGCUCUUUCAGAGUCCGAGUUGUAAUUUGCAGAGGGCGCUUUGGCUUUGGCAGCGGUCCAAGUUCCUUGGAACAGGACGUCACAGAGGGUGAGAAUCCCGUACGUGGUCGCUAGCUAUUGCCGUGUAAAGCCCCUUCGACGAGUCGAGUUGUUUGGGAAUGCAGCUCUAAAUGGGAGGUAAAUUUCUUCUAAAGCUAAAUAUUGGCCAGAGACCGAUAGCGCACAAGUAGAGUGAUCGAAAGAUGAAAAGCACUUUGGAAAGAGAGUCAAACAGCACGUGAAAUUGUUGAAAGGGAAGCGCUUGCAGCCAGACUUGCUUGCAGUUGCUCAUCCGGGCUUUUGCCCGGUGCACUCUUCUGCAGGCAGGCCAGCAUCAGUUUGGGCGGUGGGAUAAAGGUCUCUGACACGUUCCUUCCUUCGGGUUGGCCAUAUAGGGGAGACGUCAUACCACCAGCCUGGACUGAGGUCCGCGCAUCUGCUAGGAUGCUGGCGUAAUGGCUGUAAGCGGCCCGUCUUGAAACACGGACCAAGGAGUCUAACAUCUAUGCGAGUGUUUGGGUGUCAAGCCCGAGCGCGUAAUGAAAGUGAACGGAGGUGGGAACCCGCAAGGGCGCACCAUCGACCGAUCCUGAAGUUUACGGAAGGAUUUGAGUAAGAGCAUGGCUGUUGGGACCCGAAAGAUGGUGAACUAUGCUUGAAUAGGGUGAAGCCAGAGGAAACUCUGGUGGAGGCUCGCAGCGGUUCUGACGUG
RNAcentral lists this ribosomal RNA (840 nucleotides) under Curvularia verruciformis. Its description in RNAcentral is "partial large subunit ribosomal RNA". It matches the Rfam family "Eukaryotic large subunit ribosomal RNA", at positions 36 to 893 of the family's 3401-position model. The record is from RNAcentral. Lineage: Eukaryota; Fungi; Ascomycota; Dothideomycetes; Pleosporales; Pleosporaceae.